RNAcentral lists this ribosomal RNA (800 nucleotides) under uncultured beta proteobacterium. RNAcentral's name for it is "bacterial SSU rRNA". It matches the Rfam family "Bacterial small subunit ribosomal RNA", at positions 71 to 868 of the family's 1533-position model. The record is from RNAcentral. Lineage: Bacteria; Pseudomonadati; Pseudomonadota; Betaproteobacteria.
AGCGCGGGGCAACCUGGCGGCGAGCGGCGAACGGGUGAGUAAUGCAUCGGAACAUGUCCAAUUGUGGGGGAUAGCCCGGCGAAAGCCGGAUUAAUACCGCAUGAGCCCGAGAGGGGAAAGUGGGGGACCGCAAGGCCUCACGCGAUUGGGUUGGCCGAUGUCCGAUUAGCUAGUUGGCGGGGUAAAGGCCCACCAAGGCGAUGAUCGGUAGCUGGUCUGAGAGGAUGAUCAGCCACACUGGGACUGAGACACGGCCCAGACUCCUACGGGAGGCAGCAGUGGGGAAUUUUGGACAAUGGGGGAAACCCUGAUCCAGCCAUUCCGCGUGAGUGAAGAAGGCCUUCGGGUUGUAAAGCUCUUUUGUCCGGAACGAAACGGCUACGACUAAUACUCGUGGCUACUGACGGUACCGGAAGAAUAAGCACCGGCUAACUACGUGCCAGCAGCCGCGGUAAUACGUAGGGUGCGAGCGUUAAUCGGAAUUACUGGGCGUAAAGCGUGCGCAGGCGGUUUUGCAAGCCAGAUGUGAAAUCCCCGGGCUCAACCUGGGAAUGGCAUUUGGGACUGCAAGGCUGGAGUGUGGCAGAGGAGACUGGAAUUCCUGGUGUAGCAGUGAAAUGCGUAGAUAUCAGGAGGAAUACCGAUGGCGAAGGCAGGUCUCUGGGCUGACACUGACGCUCAUGCACGAAAGCGUGGGGAGCAAACAGGAUUAGAUACCCUGGUAGUCCACGCCCCAAACGAUGUCGACUGGUUGUUGGGGGUUUGACACUCUCAGUAACGAAGCUAACGCGUGAAGUCGA